CAGGUCUUGACAUCCCUUUGACCGGUCUAGAGAUAGACCUUUCCUUCGGGACAGAGGAGACAGGUGGUGCAUGGUUGUCGUCAGCUCGUGUCGUGAGAUGUUGGGUUAAGUCCCGCAACGAGCGCAACCCUUAUGCUUAGUUGCCAGCAGGUCAAGCUGGGCACUCUAAGCAGACUGCCGGUGACAAACCGGAGGAAGGUGGGGAUGACGUCAAAUCAUCAUGCCCCUUAUGACCUGGGCUACACACGUACUACGAUGGCCGGUACAACGGGAAGCGAAGCCGCGAGGUGGAGCCAAUCCUAGAAAAGCCGGUCUCAGUUCGGAUUGUAGGCUGCAACUCGCCUACA
RNAcentral lists this ribosomal RNA (347 nucleotides) under uncultured maize rhizosphere bacterium c18-2_68. RNAcentral's name for it is "bacterial SSU rRNA". It matches the Rfam family "Bacterial small subunit ribosomal RNA", at positions 975 to 1320 of the family's 1533-position model. The record is from RNAcentral.